RNAcentral lists this long non-coding RNA (1872 nucleotides) under Daphnia magna. Its description in RNAcentral is "uncharacterized LOC116918280, transcript variant X7". The record is from RNAcentral. Lineage: Eukaryota; Metazoa; Arthropoda; Branchiopoda; Diplostraca; Daphniidae.
AGUAACCCUAGUAACCAUGGGUGACAGCUAUGAGAGAAAGAGUUUGUAUGUACCUGUAACGUGUUUUUAUGAAAAUUUACUAAUUAUACGAGUCUUCUCUCGUCUUUGAGACGGUGAAGUACUGCAAACUCAAGCUGAAUCAAGAAAAAAGGAAAAAAAGCAGUGUGCAAGGGAUUGCCCCGUAUACUAAAGCAGCCGCUCUAGUCGCACGUUCAACAUAUACCUAACUACCUACCUUAUCAAUGAUAUGGUCUGUUGAUUGGAAGGGGAAAGGUUUUGUAAACAGUUCGUCUUACGCCCACAUUUGAAGAAUUGACAAUGGAUAUCAGUCUGUGUGUCAAUAAUCUUGAUGUUACAGAAGAAUCAUGGAAUGUUUUAUUAAAAAAGGUGCUACAGAAUCAAAUACCAAUAGCAACAGUAAUGUGAUAGCCAAGUUAGUGGAUGUAGCUGAGCUAGAGCUACUAAAAGAAGAAAACUGAAGACUGUAAAAUAAUUUGUAUGAAAAAUGGGGAAACCACCAUACUGUGAACAGAUCUCCAAACUGUUUGGGCAGCUAUGGGGAAAAGAGAGAUUAAAGUCUGUCAGUGGCUAGCCUCCGUAAAAGAAAAAUGAAUUCAAAUGGAUACACAGUAUUCAAAACAGCUGGAAGCAUCAAGACAGAAAUAAAGUUCAAGGAAUUAGAUUUCGGGGAAUUACAUAAUGAGUGCAAGAAGAUUGAACAAAAUGCUAAAGCGCAACAAAAGAAUAAAAGACUUCCAACCUCCUCCCACAAAGAUGUUUAAGGAAAAACCUUAAGUUGGAGGUCAAUACCUUUUUUUUCUCGCUGCAAGUUUUGUAAAACAAAUGGUAAACUGGUAAAAUGAAACAACGCAGGACCUAUUACUUUGGAUCAAUUGUUUUCACAAGUGAAGAUUGAUUCCACAAUCUUCAGCUUCCCAGGCAGACACCCAUCCACAGAGCCAUGGGUGAUAGAUGAUAUUCACAGUGGGCAUGACUGUGUUGUAAAUUGGUAUCACUUUUACAAUGUCAAACAGUCAGCAGGUUUAGAUCACAUGUCUAACUGUGAAAGAGAUCAUGUGUCUGUCGACGAAAAUGGCUCUCUGUUUGCGACAUCAGACCUCCCCGAGGUAUUAGAAAAAUGGUCGCGUUUUGGUUAGAGUUUCUUCGCCGUCCGGUGCAUCAAUCGGAAUGAUGUUCACUUCCUCGACGUCAUUGCUCACGUAAUUUAAUAACUUUGUGCUUCAAAAAAAGUUGUAGUAAUCUUAAAUUUUUCAAAGAAAACUUUGAAAAUUUUUCAAUCGGAAAAUUGCAAAUUGCAAAUCGGAAGAGGGUAUUAUUUUCCUUGACAUAAAGAACGGACAUUUUAUGCAUUAGCAAGUCAUUCGCAUCCAAACAGAUCAAACGCACGAGGUGUUCCGCCGCGUUCGGCAACUUACAAUCCAGCAACGCAUCCAUCAACAGAAUGUAUUAAAGAAGAAAGUAAUAACCAAAUGCCGACUGCACGAUUUCCAUGCAAGAUGAAUGUUAAAAUCGAAGGAGAUCUGGUGAUGCAACGGACUAUGUCAUGUCAAACCGUUAGCUGAAUACAAUGAAUACUAUCAGUUCUCCAGAACGAGAGGUUAAUAAUCAUACUGAAUCACAAGAGGUACAUACUUGAACGAGAUUUUGAAACUAUAACAGCUGGAAAUGCAUGUGGAAAUUUCAAAGGACGCUACCUGCACGUUCCCUUUAGUCGCUGAUUCAUCUCGAAGAUAAAAUAUUAAAAUUUGUAUAAAUUGAAGUGCAUAUCUGGGCUCCCUUCUUUUCUGUGGCCCCGUUUCCCCUUGACUCGUAAUAAGCCCGUAGGGGGUCAUGCCCCUACUGUGAUCAGCA